This 429-nucleotide ribosomal RNA is filed under the name Chloroflexota bacterium. Its description in RNAcentral is "Chloroflexi bacterium partial 16S ribosomal RNA". It matches the Rfam family "Bacterial small subunit ribosomal RNA", at positions 355 to 776 of the family's 1533-position model. The record is from RNAcentral. Lineage: Bacteria; Bacillati; Chloroflexota.
UAGGGAAUCUUCGGCAAUGGACGAAAGUCUGACCGAGCAACGCCGCGUGAGUGAAGAAGGUUUUCGGAUCGUAAAACUCUGUUGUUAGAGAAGAACAAGGACGUUAGUAACUGAACGUCCCCUGACGGUAUCUAACCAGAAAGCCACGGCUAACUACGUGCCAGCAGCCGCGGUAAUACGUAGGUGGCAAGCGUUGUCCGGAUUUAUUGGGCGUAAAGCGAGCGCAGGCGGUUUCUUAAGUCUGAUGUGAAAGCCCCCGGCUCAACCGGGGAGGGUGAUUGGAAACUGGGAGACUUGAGUGCAGAAGAGGAGAGUGGAAUUCCAUGGGUAGCGGUGAAAUGCGUAGAUAUAUGGAGGAACACCAGUGGCGAAGGCGGCUCUCUUGUCUGUAACUGACGCUGAGGCUCGAAAGCGUGGGGAGCAAACAGG